UACGUAGGGUGCUAACGUUGUUCGGAAUCACUGGGCAUAAAGAGCGCGUAGGCGGUUUGUCACGUCUGCUGUGAAAUCCCGAGGCUCAACCUCGGGCCUGCAGUGGGUACGGGCAGACUGGAGUGCGGUAGGGGAGAAUGGAAUUCCUGGUGUAGCGGUGGAAUGCGCAGAUAUCAGGAGGAACACCGAUGGCGAAGGCAGUUCUCUGGGCCGUAACUGACGCUGAGGAGCGAAAGCGUGGGGAGCGAACAGG
Molecule: ribosomal RNA, 253 nt
Filed under: uncultured bacterium
Lineage: Bacteria
Description: partial 16S ribosomal RNA
Rfam family: Bacterial small subunit ribosomal RNA
Source: RNAcentral